This 140-nucleotide ribosomal RNA is filed under the name Vibrio aquaticus. Its description in RNAcentral is "Vibrio sp. BEI207 partial 23S ribosomal RNA". The stretch from base 1 to 120 matches the Rfam family "Bacterial large subunit ribosomal RNA", at positions 2811 to 2925 of the family's 2925-position model. Lineage: Bacteria; Pseudomonadati; Pseudomonadota; Gammaproteobacteria; Vibrionales; Vibrionaceae. The record is from RNAcentral.
UUCCCUGACCCCUUGAGGGUCCUAAAGGGUUGUUCGAGACUAGAACGUUGAUAGGCAGGGUGUGUAAGUGCUGUGAGGCAUUGAGCUAACCUGUACUAAUUGCCCGUGAGGCUUAACCAUACAACACCCAAAGGGUUUUG